Molecule: ribosomal RNA, 420 nt
Filed under: uncultured Nocardioides sp.
Lineage: Bacteria; Bacillati; Actinomycetota; Actinomycetes; Propionibacteriales; Nocardioidaceae
Description: partial 16S ribosomal RNA
Rfam family: Bacterial small subunit ribosomal RNA
Source: RNAcentral
UGGGGGGGUUACUUCCGAGGCGGCGAACGGGUGAGUACUUUUUUUGAAGUAAUCUGCCCUUCACUCUGGGAUAGCCACCGGAAAUGGUGAUUAAUACCGGAUACGACCAAUCCCUGCAUGGGGUGUUGGUGGAAACUUUUUUGGGUGGGGGAUGUGCUCGCGGCCUAUCAGCUUGUUGGUGGGGUAAUGGCCUACCAAGGCUUCGACGGGUAGCCGGCCUGAGAGGGUGACCGGCCACACUGGGACUGAGACACGGCCCAGACUCCUACGGGAGGCAGCAGUGGGGAAUAUUGGACAAUGGGCGGAAGCCUGAUCCAGCAACGCCGCGUGAGGGAUGACGGCCUUCGGGUUGUAAACCUCUUUCAGCACCGACGAAGCGCAAGUGACGGUAGGUGCAGAAGAAGGACCGGCCAACUACGU